This 376-nucleotide unclassified non-coding RNA is filed under the name Hevea brasiliensis (rubber tree). The record is from RNAcentral. Lineage: Eukaryota; Viridiplantae; Streptophyta; Magnoliopsida; Malpighiales; Euphorbiaceae.
CUUCAAUCUAGCUUGACGACUCCUACAGAGAAGACGGCCUUAGCCUUCUUCACCUUUCCAGCUUGAAAAUGCCGCGUUAUGACGAUCGACAUGCCAAUACACGUCUCUAUGUUGGUCACCUGGCAUCUCGCACAAGGUCACGAGACCUUGAAUACCUUUUCAGCAAAUAUGGAAGAGUACGAGAUGUGGAUAUGAAGCGUGACUACGCAUUUGUUGAAUUUAGUGAUCCUCGUGAUGCUGAUGAUGCAAGAUAUCACUUGGAUGGUAAGGAGUUUGAUGGCAGCCGUAUCAUUGUGGAAUUUGCAAAGGGGGUACCUCGUGGUUCUCGAGAAUAUUUGGGCAGAGGUCCUCCUCCAGGAUCUGGACGUUGCUUUAA